AUUAAUCACUGUGGAAGAAGAGCAUUAAUCAAAAUGAUUAUCGUAGUACUUUUUAUAACUGUUCAGAUUUUGAUAUUUUAAAAUGGAAUUGGAAGACUGGGAUCCCAUGAAGGAAGAUUAUUACUCUUUAGCUGUCAAUUCCUAUGUUGGAGGUCGAGGAUUAGGCAUUCCCAUUGAUCGUUACCCAUCUUGUGAUAGAAAUAAAAAUAGUUGUCAGACUGUCAGUUUAUAUGUGACUGGAAUACCGUACGCUAUCGAUGAACGAGGUUUAAAACUAAUAUUUUCGAAUUAUGGAAGAGUGCGUCGUUCU
This 310-nucleotide long non-coding RNA is filed under the name Androctonus crassicauda. The record is from RNAcentral. Lineage: Eukaryota; Metazoa; Arthropoda; Arachnida; Scorpiones; Buthidae.